This 659-nucleotide ribosomal RNA is filed under the name uncultured fungus. RNAcentral describes it as "eukaryotic LSU rRNA". The stretch from base 259 to 412 matches the Rfam family "5.8S ribosomal RNA". Lineage: Eukaryota; Fungi. The record is from RNAcentral.
CUUGGUCAUUUAGAGGAAGUAAAAGUCGUAACAAGGUUUCCGUAGGUGAACCUGCGGAAGGAUCAUUAUUGAAAAACUUCUCAAGUUUUUAGUAUCCUAUUGUCUACCUACCAUGUUGCUUCCACUGGACGUGUUUUACCUUGUGUAAGACCUUUGGCUUGUGUGAAUAACCCAAGUCAGGGAGUUGCCAGUGGCAAGACCAUCUACCAAAACUUGCUUAAAAUACUACUGUCUGAAUCUUUUGCUUCAAUGAAAUAAAACUUUCAACAACGGAUCUCUAGGCUCUUGCAUCGAUGAAGAACGCAGUGAAAUGCGAUAAGUAAUGUGAAUUGCAGAAUCUCGUGAAUCAUCGAAUCUUUGAACGCACAUUGCGCCCUAUGGUAUUCCGUAGGGCAUGCCUGUCUGAGCGUCAGCUCCCCCCCCACUCAAGUAUCUUUACUUUUUUGAUUCUUGGACUGAUUUGGAGAGGUGUCUUGUCAUGUAGACGCCCUCCAGAAAUUCAUAGGCAGUAUGGUUUGCACCUGAACCAGACGUAAUAAUAAUAAAAUCGUUUGUUUGGGUAUGAUUGUGCUUGCCUUAACCCACCCAUUUCUUUGUUUGGGUGACCUCAGAUCAGGUAGGGAUACCCGCUGAACUUAAGCAUAUCAAUAAGCGGAGGA